Fibrobacter sp. is the source of this 73-nucleotide non-coding RNA. NCBI's taxonomy places the organism in Bacteria, Pseudomonadati, Fibrobacterota, Fibrobacteria, Fibrobacterales, Fibrobacteraceae. The record is from Rfam.
CGCGGGGUAGAGCAGUUGGUAGCUCGUCGGGCUCAUAACCCGGAGGUCGCAGGUCCAAGUCCUGCCCCCGCUA